AAUAAUAUCUCUAUAAUUUUUCCGACUGAAACAAGUGACAAAGAGUUUGGUGGUUGAUAUUCGGUUGAUAUUCGAGACCCAAGUUCGAAUCUUAAUUAAUUCAUAUUUCAAACUAAGUUUAUUUCUAAAUUAAAUAAAUGAAACAGAUAGUGUGCUACCUAUCUCUCUAAAAAACAAAAAAUUCCUGUAAUUUCAAUUUUUUUAUAUUAGUAUUUUAUAAUUUUACUUUUCUUUGUUAUUUCUUUUUUUUUUUCAUUAAAUCAGUAACAAAGUUAAAAUUAUAUAAUACUAAAAUAAAAAAUCAAUAAACUACGUAAUACUAAAAUGAAUAUUCGAUAAACCAUAUGUGUAGUGUCUAAAAUUUUUUUGUAUAUAAUUUAACAAAAAGUUAACGAAGAUACUAUCGAUAAAAAAUAAAAUUAUAGUGAGAAAGUGUGAAAUCACAUGGAUUGUAUUUAAAAUAAAGAGAAAACUUCAAAUACCACCUCUGUACGUGGUUUCACACUUUCUCAUUUUAUAUCAUGUGGUUUAAAGUAUAUCAAUUUAGUAUUCUGUGGUUUCAUUUUUAUUUUUUUAUUAUCAAUUUAUUUAUUUUUUUUGUUAAAUUAGUGAUAAAUUAAAUGGUACUAAAGUGAAUAUUCGAUAAAUCUAGAUAAGGUAUCUGCAAGUUUUUUAUAUAUAAUUUAACGAAAUAUUAACGAAGAAGCUAACGAAAAGAUAAAAAUGAAACAUAGGACACUAACUUGAUACAGUUUAAACUAUAUGAUACUAAAGUGAGAAACGGUGAAACUAUAAGGGUGGUAUUUGAAGUUUAUCCUAAAAUCAAUGAAUAAACUAUUCGG
Molecule: long non-coding RNA, 842 nt
Filed under: Ananas comosus (pineapple)
Lineage: Eukaryota; Viridiplantae; Streptophyta; Magnoliopsida; Poales; Bromeliaceae
Description: long non-coding RNA (ACOM_LNC029935)
Source: RNAcentral